This is a small nuclear RNA of Vombatus ursinus (common wombat), 107 nucleotides long. Lineage: Eukaryota; Metazoa; Chordata; Mammalia; Diprotodontia; Vombatidae. The record is from Ensembl.
GUGUUCUCUUUGCUAACCCAUAAGUUAAAAGAAGAGCAAUACAGAAAAGAUUAGCCUAGUUUGUGCACAAGUAUGACACACAAAAUCACAGUCAUCCGUAUUUUUUU